GACUCGGCUGAGUUGAUUGGUUUGGUGCUGAAUCGGUCGAGUCAAGCCUUGACUCGGCUGGUUUGGUACUAAACUAAUCAACUCAGCCGAGUC
RNAcentral lists this microRNA precursor (93 nucleotides) under Picea abies (Norway spruce). RNAcentral describes it as "miR11420a stem-loop (pab-MIR11420a)". Lineage: Eukaryota; Viridiplantae; Streptophyta; Pinopsida; Pinales; Pinaceae. The record is from miRBase by way of RNAcentral.